GCCUUUGAAGAAAGAUGUUAUGAGUAUGAUAAAGCUGAGUACUAUAAAAAUAAUAAUAUUGAAGAGCAAAUUGAUAGUGAAUCAAAUCAGAAUCCACAAUGACAGAAGCGAAAAAGGAAAAGCUGUAAGAAGCCUGCUCACGGAAGUAAAGUGUAUGUAACACCCAAAAAUUUAAAACUUUUGAAAUAGGUGAAAAUGAUUUAAUUUUGUAUUUUUGUGUUCAUGAAAAAUAGAGAAAUAAUAUUUUUCAUCAAAAUAAAAUUUAUCAUAGGGUGUAGCAACACUUUUGUGCACUCAUGCUUCUACAUUUUUGUUUACUGUGCUGAGUGUUUUUGAACUAAAAAUUCAAAUGAUUUAAAAGGAAUUUUAAAUGAGUUUCAAAUCGCUUUGGAAUAAAAGAAAAAGGAAAAAAACAAACAAACCAAAACUCUCCCCAUCUGAUUCCGGCCCGAAGGCCCACUCCUCCUUUCCACCCCCUUCCGGCCUACUCCCGAACCAGCGUGCGCUGCCCAGCUUCCCUCCCCCUUUUUAUUUCUUCGCGUGGCCCAACGCCCAACUCCGAUCGCACCCCCGGCCCAAUGCCUCGCAGCGGCCCACUCGACCAUCCAAGCCGCGCAUCCCCUCUUCUUCCCCUCUGUCAACCGGGCUCCAUUCUUUAUUCUCUCUGACACUGUGACCCCACCUGUCAGCCGGUCUUCUUCAACCUCAAGUCGGAGCCGUGCAGGACUCCCGACCGGGAGCUAAAUACCGUUUCGCAUGGGAUUUUCUGCCAAAAUUCGCCAAAGCCGAGCCCUUUUAAGCCCCGUGAUCUCCUUCUCGACUCUCCUUUCCAAUCUAAGCGCUCGUGGAGCCACCCUAGCCCCGAAG
This 867-nucleotide long non-coding RNA is filed under the name Sorghum bicolor (sorghum). RNAcentral describes it as "long non-coding RNA (SBIC_LNC005173)". Lineage: Eukaryota; Viridiplantae; Streptophyta; Magnoliopsida; Poales; Poaceae. The record is from RNAcentral.